RNAcentral lists this ribosomal RNA (486 nucleotides) under uncultured bacterium. RNAcentral's name for it is "partial 16S ribosomal RNA". It matches the Rfam family "Bacterial small subunit ribosomal RNA", at positions 30 to 507 of the family's 1533-position model. The record is from RNAcentral.
AUUGAACGCUGGCGGCAUGCCUUACACAUGCAAGUCGAACGGCAGCACGGGUGCUUGCACCUGGUGGCGAGUGGCGAACGGGUGAGUAAUACAUCGGAACAUGUCCUGUAGUGGGGGAUAGCCCGGCGAAAGCCGGAUUAAUACCGCAUACGAUCCACGGAUGAAAGCGGGGGACCUUCGGGCCUCGCGCUAUAGGGUUGGCCGAUGGCUGAUUAGCUAGUUGGUGGGGUAAAGGCCUACCAAGGCGACGAUCAGUAGCUGGUCUGAGAGGACGACCAGCCACACUGGGACUGAGACACGGCCCAGACUCCUACGGGAGGCAGCAGUGGGGAAUUUUGGACAAUAGGCGAAAGCCUGAUCCAGCAAUGCCGCGUGUGUGAAGAAGGCCUUCGGGUUGUAAAGCACUUUUGUCCGGAAAGAAAUCCUUGACUCUAAUACAGUCGGGGGAUGACGGUACCGGAAGAAUAAGCACCGGCUAACUACGUG